Molecule: unclassified non-coding RNA, 23 nt
Filed under: Mus musculus (house mouse)
Lineage: Eukaryota; Metazoa; Chordata; Mammalia; Rodentia; Muridae
Description: oocyte_clustered_small_RNA4383
Source: RNAcentral
UGGCGAACCAAGGCGUGACGGUA